UGGGGGAUAUUGCACAAUGGGCGAAAGCCUGAUGCAGCGACGCCGCGUGGGGGAUGAAGGCCUUCGGGUUGUAAACUUCUUUUGCUCUGAACAAGGCGCACCAUGGGGUGUGUUGAGUGUAGGGGUUGAUUAGCGCCGGCUAACUACGUGCCAGCAGCCGCGGUAAUACGUAGGGCGCGAGCGUUGUCCGGAAUUAUUGGGCGUAAAGGGCUUGUAGGUGGCUGGUUGCGUCUGUCGUGAAAGCUCAUGGCUUAACUGUGGGUUUGCGGUGGGUACGGGCUGGCUUGAGUGAAGUAGGGGAGGCUGGAAUUCCUGGUGUGGCGGUGGAAUGCGCGGAUAUCAGGAGGAAUACCGGUGGCGAAGGCGGGUCUCUGGGCUGUUACUGACACUGAGGAGCGAAAGCAUGGGGAGCGAACAGG
RNAcentral lists this ribosomal RNA (419 nucleotides) under bacterium. RNAcentral's name for it is "partial 16S ribosomal RNA". It matches the Rfam family "Bacterial small subunit ribosomal RNA", at positions 355 to 776 of the family's 1533-position model. The record is from RNAcentral.